RNAcentral lists this ribosomal RNA (511 nucleotides) under uncultured bacterium. RNAcentral's name for it is "partial 16S ribosomal RNA". It matches the Rfam family "Bacterial small subunit ribosomal RNA", at positions 28 to 506 of the family's 1533-position model. The record is from RNAcentral.
GACGAACGCUGGCGGCGUGCCUAAUACAUGCAAGUCGAGCGAGCGGAACUAACAGAUUUACUUCGGUAAUGACGUUAGGAAAGCGAGCGGCGGAUGGGUGAGUAACACGUGGGGAACCUGCCCCAUAGUCUGGGAUACCACUUGGAAACAGGUGCUAAUACCGGAUAAGAAAGCAGAUCGCAUGAUCAGCUUUUAAAAGGCGGCGUAAGCUGUCGCUAUGGGAUGGCCCCGCGGUGCAUUAGCUAGUUGGUAAGGUAAAGGCUUACCAAGGCGAUGAUGCAUAGCCGAGUUGAGAGACUGAUCGGCCACAUUGGGACUGAGACACGGCCCAAACUCCUACGGGAGGCAGCAGUAGGGAAUCUUCCACAAUGGACGCAAGUCUGAUGGAGCAACGCCGCGUGAGUGAAGAAGGUUUUCGGAUCGUAAAGCUCUGUUGUUGGUGAAGAAGGAUAGAGGUAGAAACGGGCCUUUAUUUGACGGUAAUCAACCAGAAAGUCACGGCUAACUACGU